Molecule: ribosomal RNA, 532 nt
Filed under: uncultured bacterium
Lineage: Bacteria
Description: partial 16S ribosomal RNA
Rfam family: Bacterial small subunit ribosomal RNA
Source: RNAcentral
UAGGGAAUCUUCGGCAAUGGGGGCAACCCUGACCGAGCAACGCCGCGUGAGUGAAGAAGGUUUUCGGAUCGUAAAGCUCUGUUGUAAGUCAAGAACGGGUGUGAGAGUGGAAAGUUCACACUGUGACGGUAGCUUACCAGAAAGGGACGGCUAACUACGUGCCAGCAGCCGCGGUAAUACGUAGGUCCCGAGCGUUGUCCGGAUUUAUUGGGCGUAAAGCGAGCGCAGGNGGUUUGAUAAGUCUGAAGUUAAAGGCUGUGGCUCAACCAUAGUUCGCUUUGGAAACUGUCAAACUUGAGUGCAGAAGGGGAGAGUGGAAUUCCAUGUGUAGCGGUGAAAUGCGUAGAUAUAUGGAGGAACACCGGUGGCGAAAGCGGCUCUCUGGUCUGUAACUGACGCUGAGGCUCGAAAGCGUGGGGAGCGAACAGGAUUAGAUACCCUGGUAGUCCACGCCGUAAACGAUGAGUGCUAGGUGUUGGAUCCUUUCCGGGAUUCAGUGCCGCAGCUAACGCAUUAAGCACUCCGCCUGGGG